CAGCCCCUCGAGUGGUGGGGAUGAUUAUUUGGCCUAAAGCGUCCGUAGCCGGCCGAGUAAGUCCCCCGUUAAAUCCAGCGUCUCAAGCGUUGGACUGCGGGAGAUACUACUUGGCUAGAGAGUGGGAGAGGUCAGCGGUAUUCUGGGGGUAGGGGCGAAAUCCUUUGAUCCCCGGAGGACCACCAGUGGCGAAGGCUGCUGACUAGAACACGUCUGACGGUCAGGGACGAAAGCUGGGGUAGCGAACCGGAUUAGAUACCCGAGUAGUC
RNAcentral lists this ribosomal RNA (269 nucleotides) under uncultured archaeon. RNAcentral's name for it is "partial 16S ribosomal RNA". It matches the Rfam family "Archaeal small subunit ribosomal RNA", at positions 477 to 746 of the family's 1478-position model. The record is from RNAcentral.